This 46-nucleotide non-coding RNA is filed under the name unclassified sequences. RNAcentral's name for it is "Mu-gpT-DE RNA". It matches the Rfam family "Mu-gpT-DE RNA". The record is from Rfam by way of RNAcentral.
UCCUGACAGCGAAAGCUGACGCUAGCCAAGACAGGAGAUAAAAAUG